This is a long non-coding RNA of Carassius carassius (crucian carp), 588 nucleotides long. RefSeq lists it as uncharacterized. The transcript is spliced from 2 exons. NCBI's taxonomy places the organism in Eukaryota, Metazoa, Chordata, Actinopteri, Cypriniformes, Cyprinidae. The record is from RefSeq and is a predicted model, not a curated record.
GAUUAUUGCCUGAGUGUCCGUCAAAAUAACGGAUGUUAGAGGGAUGCACGGUUACCAUUUACUUUAGAUUUAAUUUUCUUUGGUUUAUUUAUUGUUUUUUUUUGUUGGAUGUUGGAUCAUAAUUGUAUAAGGAAAACCUAGGCCAUAAAAGGAUGGUUCUAUGGUGCUGACUGGUUUGUUCUACUUGCAUUACCCACUGUUAAUUAAUUUGUUUUUCUUUCUUUUUGUAGAAUUCUUUUCAAACCAACAAUGGCUUCUGGGUUAUCCUCACUGUGUGGAUGGCGGUGGUGAGGUGGCUGGGAUUGUGUGGUGGUUUGGUCACUUUAUUUGUGUUUCUUACUUUUUUGUAGGUUUGCAGUGUGAUUGCUGUGAGCGUUGUUAUGGUGAGAGCAUUUUGAAUGCCACUCUGUCUUCACGAUAUAGGUAACCCGUGGCUAUCUGUUGGUUGAUUUCGUUUUUUUUUUUUGUUUUUGCUUCUUUUUAUGUAUUAUUAUUUCCUUUGUGGGUAUUUGCAUUGACGAUCUGUUACACCUUUUUUUAAUAUGUUGAAUUAUUUGAAUAAAAAUGUGCCUGUUGAGUAAAGCUGUA